UAUGUGUCAUUUUUAAAUGGAGUCGAAACUCGAAGCUUACAGACUGAAAAAGCGUCGCCAAGCGAUGAUGGAGGGAGCAAAAAAUUCUUUGAAAGGUGCAUUAGCGUGGACCGAAAGAGCUGUUGACGUCAGACCCACGGAGAUUACAGGACAAGGAUGAUCUCGAGAGUAUAUGCUCGGAAGAGAGCAUAGAUAUAGCCCCGCCUGAGAAUCCAAUUCUCAAACAAGUGACUUACCUGCUGUAUUUUCUCCUAUGGGCGACAGUUUACGCGAUAGCCAUUCAGU
Molecule: unclassified non-coding RNA, 285 nt
Filed under: Venturia canescens
Lineage: Eukaryota; Metazoa; Arthropoda; Insecta; Hymenoptera; Ichneumonidae
Description: sAYSvFN domain-containing protein 1, transcript variant X1
Source: RNAcentral